GAUAAAUCUGGAAAGUAUAGAAUGUUUGGAAGAUGAGGCCUCAGUGAUUUCAAAGAAGAUGUGUAUUUAAGCAGUAAUCCUAUGAUGCUUGAUUAAGCUGGAGGAGGGGUAGGGAUUCAAGAGUGGGAUAUUAAAGCCUGAGUUUCCUUCAGCAAAGCAGUGUGGAGUGCGCAAGGUCAAGGGUGUGGGUGUUGCUGAAAUGGCAUGAAGGCUUGGUUAGGGGAAAGAACGCUGAGCCUAGGGUGUUAGGUUAUUUGUCCAGUGUUAAGGUAGCUAGUAUGAUUGCAGGAGUUGGGGUGAAGAGAGAGAUUGCAAAACAGAUAUUUCAACUGUAGUAUCAAGUAGGAGAAGAGCAUGACAUAACCAGACAUAUUGUACCUUCACAUUUUGAGUCUUAAGUUUGAAAGUAGAAGGGUGACAACCUGCAAGUGACAGGGUGCUACAAAGGGCUAGUGCUGCCUCUGGACCUGUGGAAGAUGGAGGUGGAGAAUUAACCUCCUACCAGCAGGGGCAUAAUUCCAGUGGUAUCCUCUUAAGGUAGCCAGGUUUCAGUUAGGCAGUAAGUGGAGGGUUAGUGAAAAGACUGAGAAUGGGAGGGUUUGUUGAAUCCUGGAACAAAGGUUUCAGGUGGUGUGACAGAAUGAGGGGAAAGAAAUUUGCAACAAGAGAAUGAAUCAGAGUGAGGUUAGGUGUAGGAGAAAAUGGAUGGUAGGAUUGAUUCAGGUUUAGAAGUUGAUAGUUAGAUGGAAGGGUCAAAAGGCAAGGGAUUAAGAGUGUUGAAAGAAAUAUAAGCAAUCAAUUAUGGGAUCCAAAUUGCAUACGGAUGGCAACCAGGCCAGGGAAAUUUUUUAAAAAUCCAAAACAAAGAGUGAGAAAAUACAGAGCAGAUUGGGAACUGAAAGAGAAUAGUUGACCAGGACUUCCAUUUUCAUCUUCUCCUGUGGAUUGUGGGGAUGAAAUACAUAGGUAGAACUCAGAGGCCUGAGGAUGUCCAAUAUGGACAUGAAAUAGUUUAUAUCAAAGGUCCCAGAGAUACAAGGCACCUCUCUCACCCCUCUACUUAGGGACUCAAUCCUCAUCACCAUCUGCCUAUUAGCUCUCAUUUCAGAAAAAUAGUAUUCCUACUAUUCCCUGACAUUCCUAUAUCUUUGACCCAAUCCACAUCUUAUUUCCUUCUCCUUGUUUUGCUAUGCAAUUCUGAUCUAAAUUUCAUGAAAAAAUAAUCUAUAAUUCCUAUCUCUUAAGCAUUCCUUUUCUCCCUUUUAACUCUUACUCUGAGUCCUGUUGUACCAUUUGACUCAAAUUUUUUUUUCUAAUAUCAUCACUCAUCUCCAGUUGACACCACUAAUCAAUAUUUUCUCAUUCGUACCUUUGUGCUCUGCUCAGAACUCGAUCAUUACCUAUUUCUUGAACCUUGAGUAUUUUGGUUUCAUGAACCAUAUUCUCUACUUUUACCUCCCAUUUCUUUAUUUCCUUUACUAAAUUCUCUGAGGGUAAUACUUCUCCCCAUUUUUUAAAAUCAACUUUAUUUUAAAAGCAAGUACAUAGUUUCCAUAUACCUCCUGUGCUCCUACUCAAAGAGCCUUCCCCACCAUGGUCAUCCUGCAUUUGUUACACUGGCAUACUUGUUACAUUCAGCAAUCCAUACUGACACCUCAUUGUUCCCUAAAUUGCGUAGUUUCCAUUUAGGAUCAAUCUUGGUGUUAGGUAUUGUAUGAGUCUUGACAAAUGUAUAAUGACAUGUAUCCACCAUUGUAUUAUAAUAGUGAAUAAUUUCACCACCUUAAAAAUCCUCCUUAGGUUUCCUAUUUUCCCUGUCUCCCCAACCACUAAUCUUUUUACUUUCUCCAUAAUUUUGCUUUUUUUUUUUUCAGAAUAUUAUGUAGUUAGAAUCGAACAGUAUGGAGCCCUUUCACAUUGGUGUCUUUCACUUAGUAAUAUGCAUCUAAGCUUCCUCCAUGUCUUUUCAUGGCUUCCUAACUUUUUUUUAGUGCUUAAUAGUAUUCUGUUAUCUAGAAUUCAAUUCAUUUGUUUUCAUCAGAACAUCUUGAUUGCUUCCAAGUUUGUGAAGUUAUGAAUAAAGAUGCUAUAAACAUGUAUAGUUAGGGUUUUAUGUGGAUAUGUUUUCAAUUCACUGGAUUAAAUACCAGAGAACAUGAGUGCUGAACCACAUGGGAAAGGUGAAUGGUACACAGGAGGCCAGUCAUUAGUAUUCUGCUUUGUAAAUAGGUAACUUAAGGUCAAAAAAGUUAAAUGACUUACCCAAGGAUUACACAGUAAUAAGUGAUAGAGCAG
This 2295-nucleotide long non-coding RNA is filed under the name Marmota monax (woodchuck). The record is from RNAcentral. Lineage: Eukaryota; Metazoa; Chordata; Mammalia; Rodentia; Sciuridae.